CCAUGGCUUGAACCCUUUGCUCAUUUCCCUUCUAGCUCAUUCUCUUCUAUUUUCUCUCCAUAUAUUUCUCUCAAAAUCGGAGGAAAAUAAAGAAAAAAGUGUGAAAGAAUCCUUAAAGCUCAGGAGGGAUAGCGCCAUUCAUCAUG
This 146-nucleotide microRNA precursor is filed under the name Asparagus officinalis (garden asparagus). RNAcentral describes it as "miR390 stem-loop (aof-MIR390)". Its record names the gene aof-MIR390. Lineage: Eukaryota; Viridiplantae; Streptophyta; Magnoliopsida; Asparagales; Asparagaceae. The record is from miRBase by way of RNAcentral.